This 1408-nucleotide unclassified non-coding RNA is filed under the name uncultured fungus. RNAcentral's name for it is "sequence contains 18S rRNA gene, ITS1, 5.8S rRNA gene, ITS2, 28S rRNA gene". The stretch from base 407 to 1408 matches the Rfam family "Eukaryotic large subunit ribosomal RNA", at positions 1 to 961 of the family's 3401-position model. Lineage: Eukaryota; Fungi. The record is from RNAcentral.
GGAAGGAUCAUUAACAAGUCUGUGGCGGGCGGCAGAAAUGCCCUCGAGCACCACCACACAUGUGCCGCGCUGGCAGACUGACUAGUUUGGCAGCGUGGAUCUCAUUAUUCAUCUUUGACUGAAUUGCGUGGCAACGAAACAAUAACAACUUUUGACAAUGGAUCUCUUGGCUCUUGCACCGAUGAAGAACGCAGUAAAGUGCGAAACGUAGUGCGAUUUGCAUGCUCUGUGAGUCAUCGAGUCUUUGAACGCAUAUGGCGCCUCCCGGCCCUGCCCGGAGGCAUGCCUGUUUGAGAAUCGCAUCUUUCCAACUAAUUGGGCAUACACCAGUGUUGCCUGGAAGCGUCUGUUUUGCCACAGCUAGCACAGCAGUGUGAUUGGUGGUGGUGGCGCGACAAUGUAUCAACGAUCUCAAAUCAGGCAAGACUACCCGCCGAACUUAAGCAUAUCAGUAAGCGGAGGAACAGAAACUAACAAGGAUUCCCCUAGUAACGGCGAGUGAAGCGGGACGAGCUCAAAUUUGAAAUCUGGGGGCACCGCCCUCCGAAUUGUAGUUUCAAGACGCGCGCACUGGCUGGCGCGGAUCCGCACAAGUCUCCUGGAAUGGAGCAUCGCAGAGGGUGAGAAUCCCGUCGUGCGGGGCCGCGUCGGUCGCAGGGGCGCGUCGACGAGUCGAGUUGUUUGGGAAUGCAGCUCAAAAUGGGUGGUAAAUCUCAUCUAAGGCUAAAUACCGGCAAGAGACCGAUAGCGAACAAGUACCGUGAGGGAAAGAUGAAAAGCACCUUGGAAAGGGAGUUAAACAGCGCGUGAAAUUGUUAAAAGGGAAACGAUUGGCGCCAGUAUUGCGGCGCAGUUCCGCGGUCAAGCAUUAAUGUCCGCGCAGUCUGCGCCGCAGUCGGCGACGGUUUGCAGCGCCGCAUGAGCGUCGAGAAAGGUGGCGCAUUGCGCGCUUUACAGGCUCGACACGUGGCGGCGCGGCGGACCGGGGCGUCGUCGUGUUCAUUGCGUCAAAUGCGGCAAGCGAUUUAGUUGUGCAAGCAGCUGGGGCGCCCAACGCACACAAACACAAUGUGGACGGCGGGCCGACGAAAUGGCGCCAAACGACCCGUCUUGAAACACGGACCAAGGAGUCCAGCGUAUGUGCGAGUAUUUGGGUGGCAAACCCGGAUGCGCAAUGAAAGUGAGCGGCGGGAGGACCCUGCGUCUGCACCGCCAGCCGAUCGCCACGAGGCAGAUUCGCGUCGGAGCACAUCCGCUGGGACCCGAAAGAUGGUGAACUAUGCCUGAAUAGGGUGAAGCCAGGGGAAACUCUGGUGGAGGCCCGUAGCCGUUCUGACGUGCAAAUCGAUGGUCGAAUUUGGGUAUAGGGGCGAAAGACUAAUCGAACCAUCUAGUAGCUGGUUCCCUC